GAAAACUGUUUGCAAAUUCGUCCAGGAAAAUGGAUAACAAAAAUAUGGAAAAAUAGUGGUUUUACAUUUUUUUAAAUUCAAAUCUCAUCGGUGUGCGUCUAUGACCAGAAGAAUUUUGUUGGAUGGAAUUAUUAGGCUUUUUAAUAGGAUACUUUAGGCGAAUCCUGAAGUCGGUGAAAAAAAUUUGUAAGAGUGGCAUAAGAUUCCACGCUGUCAUCAUACAUUCUACGAAACUUUCAAUUCAAAUAUCUUCUGCAAAAUAUCUGCUGCAUAGAACCUUUUCCACCCUCUGUCUGCCAGCCAGAAAUAAUUCGAAAUGAAAAGAAGGGUAUCACUUGUUUCAGUACUGCGCACUGAAAAUCUUUCGUAAAAGCGGGACUUGAACCUAAGACACUCAGUCAUUCUUAAACCGUUGCAUAUGUCACCAGGUUGCCACCACGCAGUCAAAUAAAGAAAGGAAUUUCGGUUCUGAGGCAAGACAAGGAUUCUUUCGAGAAACCCCUGAAGUUUUGAGGAAUGUUCAGAUGAUGAGAAAGACCAACGAUCCAGCCUCUCCCUUUUAAAAUCUCCGCAUCUCACCAGCAACAGGAUCAUUGACUCUCAAUGUCAGAUUUAACGUAGGGGAAGGUGUUGUACUUUAGGAUAAACUGCAUUCUUCAUUCAUUUAGUGUAUGAAAGGCCAAUUAAUAUAUAAUUAUUUGUCUAAUUAUCAUACAGCAGUUUAGGAAGAAUGAGAUUGUUAUCAUGU
Argiope bruennichi is the source of this 748-nucleotide long non-coding RNA. RefSeq lists it as uncharacterized. Lineage: Eukaryota; Metazoa; Arthropoda; Arachnida; Araneae; Araneidae. The record is from RefSeq and is a predicted model, not a curated record. The transcript has 4 exons.